This 197-nucleotide ribosomal RNA is filed under the name uncultured bacterium. RNAcentral describes it as "partial 16S ribosomal RNA". It matches the Rfam family "Bacterial small subunit ribosomal RNA", at positions 328 to 539 of the family's 1533-position model. The record is from RNAcentral.
ACGCUCGACACCUACGGGGGCAGCAGUGGGGAAUAUUGCACAAUGGGGGAAACCCUGAUGCAGCGACGCCGCGUGAGCGAUGAAGUAUUUCGGUAUGUAAAGCUCUAUCAGCAGGGAAGAAACUGACGGUACCUGACUAAGAAGCACCGGCUAAAUACGUGCCAGGAGCCGCGGUAAUCUGAGCGGGCUGGCAAGGC